Molecule: ribosomal RNA, 253 nt
Filed under: uncultured bacterium
Lineage: Bacteria
Also listed under: 1 other name
Description: partial 16S ribosomal RNA
Rfam family: Bacterial small subunit ribosomal RNA
Source: RNAcentral
UACGUAGGUGGCGAGCGUUGUCCGGAAUUAUUGGGCGUAAAGGGUGCGUAGGCGGCAGUUUAAGUGGGAUGUGAAAUACCUAAGCUCAACUUAGGAGUGGCAUUCCAAACUGGACUGCUAGAGUGCAGGAGAGGAAAGUGGAAUUCCCAGUGUAGCGGUGAAAUGCGUAGAGAUUGGGAGGAACACCAGUGGCGAAGGCGACUUUCUGGACUGUAACUGACGCUGAUGCACGAAAGCGUGGGGAGCAAACAGG